This 253-nucleotide ribosomal RNA is filed under the name uncultured bacterium. RNAcentral's name for it is "partial 16S ribosomal RNA". It matches the Rfam family "Bacterial small subunit ribosomal RNA", at positions 524 to 776 of the family's 1533-position model. The record is from RNAcentral.
UACGUAGGGGGCGAGCGUUGUCCGGAAUGAUUGGGCGUAAAGGGCGCGUAGGCGGCCUGCUAAGUCUGGAGUGAAAGUCCUGCUUUCAAGGUGGGAAUUGCUUUGGAUACUGGUAGGCUGGAGUGCAGGAGAGGAAAGCGGAAUUACCGGUGUAGCGGUGAAAUGCGUAGAGAUCGGUAGGAACACCAGUGGCGAAGGCGGCUUUCUGGACUGUAACUGACGCUGAGGCGCGAAAGCGUGGGGAGCAAACAGG